CUGAACGCCUCUAAGUCAGAAUCCGUGCUAGAAACGAUGAUGUGGUGUCGCACAUUAGACUUGUGUUUAAUAGAGCUUUGCUCGUGAACCAAAUAUGGUGGGCUGGGUUGUCUUUGUGGAAACGCUUAGGCGACUUGUCUACGAAUUGUAAUCAUAAUAUGGGCGGCGGUGAAUCCUUUGCAGACGACUUGAAUGGGAACGGGGUACUGUAAGUGGUAGAGUAGCCUUGUUGCUACGAUCCACUGAGGUUAAGCCCUUGUUCUAAAGAUUUGUUCA
RNAcentral lists this ribosomal RNA (276 nucleotides) under Armillaria borealis. RNAcentral describes it as "partial 26S ribosomal RNA". It matches the Rfam family "Eukaryotic large subunit ribosomal RNA", at positions 3120 to 3401 of the family's 3401-position model. The record is from RNAcentral. Lineage: Eukaryota; Fungi; Basidiomycota; Agaricomycetes; Agaricales; Physalacriaceae.